GAUGAAGAACGUAGCGAAAUGCGAUACUUGGUGUGAAUUGCAGAAUCCCGUGAACCAUCGAGUCUUUGAACGCAAGUUGCGCCCGAAGCCACUAGGCCGAGGGCACGCCUGCCUGGGCGUCACACGUCGUUGCCCCCCCCCCCAUCUACUCCUUCGGGAUUGCGGGGGGCGGAUGACGGCCUCCCGUGCGCCUAGCCGCGCGGUUGGCAUAAAUCCCAAGUCCUCGGCGACGCACGCCACGACAAUCGGUGGUUGCGAAACCUCGGUUGCCCGUCGUGUGCGUUCGUCGCGCAUCGAGGGCUCGAAAAAAUGCUCGGCUCCGGCUCGGCUUUCAACGCGACCCCAGGUCAGGCGGGGUUACCCGCUGAAUUUAAGCAUAUCAAUAAGCGGAGGA
Molecule: unclassified non-coding RNA, 394 nt
Filed under: soil metagenome
Description: partial contains 5.8S ribosomal RNA, internal transcribed spacer 2, and large subunit ribosomal RNA
Rfam family: 5.8S ribosomal RNA (bases 1-122)
Source: RNAcentral